This 234-nucleotide ribosomal RNA is filed under the name uncultured bacterium. RNAcentral's name for it is "partial 16S ribosomal RNA". It matches the Rfam family "Bacterial small subunit ribosomal RNA", at positions 15 to 240 of the family's 1533-position model. The record is from RNAcentral.
GAUCAUGGCUCUGGAUGAACGCUAGCGGCAGGCUUAACACAUGCAAGUCGAGGGGCAGCAUAAUGGAUAGUCAAUAUCUAUGGUGGCGACCGGCGCACGGGUGCGUAACGCGUAUGCAACCUACCUUUAACAGGGGGAUAACACUGAGAAAUUGGUACUAAUACCCCAUAAUAUCAUAGAAGGCAUCUUUUAUGGUUGAAAAUUCCGAUGGUUAGAGAUGGGGCAUGCGUUGUA